Mustela erminea (ermine) is the source of this 768-nucleotide long non-coding RNA. RefSeq lists it as uncharacterized. The transcript is spliced from 3 exons. NCBI's taxonomy places the organism in Eukaryota, Metazoa, Chordata, Mammalia, Carnivora, Mustelidae. The record is from RefSeq and is a predicted model, not a curated record.
AUCCUGGUUCUUUCCACAGUUUGGCGACCGUGGCCAUUGCUGCUCUAAACAUUCCCUCACCCCGUUUCUGCAUGAGGCCUCUCUCUGUCUCUCUCUCUCUCAAAUAAUCUUUUUUAAAAAAGCACGCUAAACGAAAUGCCGUCACCAACGAUCUGUCAACGACUGAGUGAUUGGAAGUGGUUUGUUCGGCCUUCUGUCGCGUGUGAUACUCUCUCCUUGGUUUCCCCAGUUUUUGUUGUGCCUCCUGGGACCCCCACUCUUCUUCUGAUUCCUCUGCGGCCUUGUUCUGUCCCACACUCAGAGUGCGGCAGGACCAUAGGAGCCUGUGCCCUGUGCGGACCUAUUUCCGUUCUUGGCUCCACCGUUGAGUGAGAUACAGAGAGGCAAGCCAAGGGAAGCAGAGCAAGUAACUUUUGUCAAGGGGCCGUCGGAGGUCCUGGGUUCUUGCACGGGGGUAGGAUGUCUGUGCUUCUGCAUGGUAGUCAAGGGGUGGGGGUGGGGGCAGGGGUGGGGCAGCAGAUGGCCCCGAGGAAGGACUGGCAGGGUCCGCAGUGGCGUGGCACCCCUUGGGUAUGGGUGAUGCGAUUGUCAGAUGUCGGCUUUCCACCCAGGGAGGGCAGAGACCCUUCAAGAUCCGGGUCGGGGAGGAGGAAGCUUGGAGAGAAGAUGCUAAGGUUUUGGCCAUGCUGGCUUCUGUCAUCCGCGCCUUGGAAGUGACUGAUUUACAACUUCUCCCAGGUGGGAUGCCAGUGGGUGGGUAACAGAGUU